AACGCACAUUGCGCCCAUUAGUAUUCUAGUGGGCAUGCCUGUUCGAGCGUCAUUACAACCCUCAAGCGCUGUAGUGCUUGGUGUUGGGGCUUCUGCUGGUGACAGCAGGCCCUGAAAGCUAGUGGCGGGCUCGCCGUGACCCUGAGCGUAGUAGCUUACAUCGCUUCUGCGGCUCGCGGCGGGUUUCCAGCCGUUAAAAACCCUAAUUUUCACAAGGUUGACCUCGGAUCAGGUAGGAAUACCCGCUGAACUUAA
RNAcentral lists this unclassified non-coding RNA (255 nucleotides) under uncultured fungus. RNAcentral's name for it is "partial contains 5.8S ribosomal RNA, internal transcribed spacer 2, and large subunit ribosomal RNA". Lineage: Eukaryota; Fungi. The record is from RNAcentral.